This 1432-nucleotide ribosomal RNA is filed under the name uncultured organism. RNAcentral describes it as "SSU rRNA". It matches the Rfam family "Bacterial small subunit ribosomal RNA". The record is from RNAcentral.
CUUAACACAUGCAAGUCGAGGGGCAUCAGGAAGAAAGCUUGCUUUCUUUGCUGGCGACCGGCGCACGGGUGAGUAACACGUAUCCAACCUGCCCUUUACUCGGGGAUAGCCUUUCGAAAGAAAGAUUAAUACCCGAUAGCAUAAUGAUUCCGCAUGGUUUCAUUAUUAAAGGAUUCCGGUAAAGGAUGGGGAUGCGUUCCAUUAGGUUGUUGGUGAGGUAACGGCCCACCAAGCCUUCGAUGGAUAGGGGUUCUGAGAGGAAGGUCCCCCACAUUGGAACUGAGACACGGUCCAAACUCCUACGGGAGGCAGCAGUGAGGAAUAUUGGUCAAUGGGCGCUAGCCUGAACCAGCCAAGUAGCGUGAAGGAUGAAGGCUCUAUGGGUCGUAAACUUCUUUUAUAUAAGAAUAAAGUGCAGUAUGUAUACUGUUUUGUAUGUAUUAUAUGAAUAAGGAUCGGCUAACUCCGUGCCAGCAGCCGCGGUAAUACGGAGGAUCCGAGCGUUAUCCGGAUUUAUUGGGUUUAAAGGGAGCGUAGGUGGACUGGUAAGUCAGUUGUGAAAGUUUGCGGCUCAACCGUAAAAUUGCAGUUGAUACUGUCAGUCUUGAGUACAGUAGAGGUGGGCGGAAUUCGUGGUGUAGCGGUGAAAUGCUUAGAUAUCACGAAGAACUCCGAUUGCGAAGGCAGCUCACUGGACUGCAACUGACACUGAUGCUCGAAAGUGUGGGUAUCAAACAGGAUUAGAUACCCUGGUAGUCCACACAGUAAACGAUGAAUACUCGCUGUUUGCGAUAUACAGUAAGCGGCCAAGCGAAAGCAUUAAGUAUUCCACCUGGGGAGUACGCCGGCAACGGUGAAACUCAAAGGAAUUGACGGGGGCCCGCACAAGCGGAGGAACAUGUGGUUUAAUUCGAUGAUACGCGAGGAACCUUACCCGGGCUUAAAUUGCAGUGGAAUGAUGUGGAAACAUGUCAGUGAGCAAUCACCGCUGUGAAGGUGCUGCAUGGUUGUCGUCAGCUCGUGCCGUGAGGUGUCGGCUUAAGUGCCAUAACGAGCGCAACCCUUAUCUUUAGUUACUAACAGGUUAUGCUGAGGACUCUAGAGAGACUGCCGUCGUAAGAUGUGAGGAAGGUGGGGAUGACGUCAAAUCAGCACGGCCCUUACGUCCGGGGCUACACACGUGUUACAAUGGGGGGUACAGAAGGCAGCUAGCGGGUGACCGUAUGCUAAUCCCAAAAUCCUCUCUCAGUUCGGAUCGAAGUCUGCAACCCGACUUCGUGAAGCUGGAUUCGCUAGUAAUCGCGCAUCAGCCACGGCGCGGUGAAUACGUUCCCGGGCCUUGUACACACCGCCCGUCAAGCCAUGGGAGCCGGGGGUACCUGAAGUACGUAACCGCAAGGAUCGUCCUAGGGUAAAACUGGUGACUGGGGCU